GGAAUACUUUAUGAAAACAGUUCCUCUGAUUCUUCUUACCCAGGUGGCUUUCUCUUCUAACUAAACAGUGGAGAACUGAGGCCAGAAAUGGAUUCUACACAAGCGCGCAGUGUAGACGUCAAUGCUUGGCCAAGGAAUUGCAAGCAUGCAGCCUUGUUUUACAUUCUUAAUGUGGGCUACAGUGGCGUUUCCUUCAAAUAUCUGUCGCAUUAACCUUCUCUCUCGCUCUCUCUCGGUCUCUCUGUCUCUCUCUCUCUCUCUCUCUCUCUCUCUCUCUCUCAGUGUAGAUAAGGUAUGUCUGAUGGCCUGAGGGCCCCGUCGGGUCCCUGUAGUGGCUGAUAAAGGCUCCGUUGGGCUCCAGGCGUCCACAGAUUUCACACACCGAACUUCCUUCAUUCAGCACAGAUUACAGCACUGUUCCCACGUCCAGGCCACGUGGCGCUGUGGGAAUCCAAGAAAGAUUAGUUCAUUUCCAGACAGGUGAAAAUGUGCUUAUGGUUAGCGAGAGACAGAAAACAAACGACUUCUUCAGCUCCUCCUGUCUGAAGCAGCUUCAUUAGAGACGUAAGCCUUCAUGAAAUGCUAAUUCACAGCGUCUCUCUUUAAUUUGUUUCCUAGAAUCAAGAUCCUCUCUGAAUAUCUGGGCAGCCUGUAAAUAUUUGCGCAAACGGAUGUGUUUGAAUUACUUAAAGUUCACAAAUCCAGCCCUCACGAGAAGAUCUGAUUGAAAAUGUACUCUGUUUAAUUUGGUUAUGUUUGCAAGGAGCAUUUGCUCAAGAGGAAAGCGCUGCGUGUCGCUCCGAUUAUAAAUUCAAACGAAGUCGAGGGACAAAUAUUUCAUCUUGCGUUCAUCUCUGUUUAAAGUGGGUGUCAGGAUCAAGUCUUGUCACUUCAUGACAUCUCAAGAUUUUCUUUUCUUUUGUAGCUGACUUUGUUAGUCCCUGAAGAAAGACACACUGUUUACUCUGCAACUCAAACAGAAUAACUUGAUUUUCUGUAGUAAAUGUAAGUGGAGUUUGCCUGUGGUUGUCGGGGCAUUGCUAAGGUGUUGCUGGGGU
Molecule: long non-coding RNA, 1058 nt
Organism: Cyprinus carpio carpio
Lineage: Eukaryota; Metazoa; Chordata; Actinopteri; Cypriniformes; Cyprinidae
Source: Ensembl